This 610-nucleotide long non-coding RNA is filed under the name Pan troglodytes (chimpanzee). Its description in RNAcentral is "long non-coding RNA NONPTRT011744". The record is from RNAcentral. Lineage: Eukaryota; Metazoa; Chordata; Mammalia; Primates; Hominidae.
UUUGAUUCUUUGUUUCCUUUAGUUUUCAUUCUCUCCUCUUCAGAACAAGAGUAGAUGGUUCGGUGUAUGCAAAUAUCACAGUUCCAGGUAACUUGAAGGAGCAGUUUGGAUUUAGAAACCCACACCUGUGACUGAUGGGAGUGGUGGACAAAUACCCACAACUUCCUCUCUCUACUCUUGGCUGAGGACAAUUCUGAAGUGAGCCCUACACUGUCUCCCAGAUGCAGUCUGACCUGAGCCACGAAGAAGUGCAGAGUCCCCAAGAGGCCAGAGAGCUCACGUCUGGUUAGAGUCAGGGUGUUUGAUGGGAAGAUGAAAGGAGGAGCUGGCAUCUGAGGAGAACCAUGGAAAGGAGGGGAGGCUGGACCGGGCUUCACCUCACACCGUGCAGGAAUGGCCACAAAGUCCUGAUGAAGAGCAGCCCCUGCGGGACGUCCCUGACAAACAGCCCUACAGCUUCUGCUUGAGUCUCCCCAGCAUGGGGAACUCACCACCUUCCAAGGCACCUGUGAGUACUAUUCUUGCUAGUGAUGAGUUGAAACCUGCUAUCUUCUCUCCCUCUGGGUUCUCAAGAGGUCAACCUGCCUCCCAAGAAGAUUCCACAGUUCUA